This 18-nucleotide small nuclear RNA is filed under the name Arabidopsis thaliana (thale cress). RNAcentral's name for it is "snRNA_01519". Lineage: Eukaryota; Viridiplantae; Streptophyta; Magnoliopsida; Brassicales; Brassicaceae. The record is from RNAcentral.
UGUAAAUGGUGACCAAAA